GUAAGUGCUAUCAAUGCGGCGGCUAGCAUAUUUGGUGUUUGUGCAUGCCGCUCGUCGCAGAUACCAAUUUUUUGUAUAUAUCUGUGGUAAAUCUAGAAUUAGUAUGCUAUUACUGCUUUUGCCUCGGUUUUGGUGCAGCUGUUGGAACAAAGAUGAACAGACCCUUCUUGUGAACGCUGCAGUUUGAUGCAUCUGAAUAACGUUGUAGAUUGCAUGGCCAAGUACUGGCUAUGUGUUUUAUAAAUGUCUGCAUUAGCAACUUUGGUUGGCUGGAUGUACGCCUGUCAUGGCGGUAACGAGUAAUGGAAGAUAAAAGUUCGACUUCGAUGAGGGAGCCUGAGAUACAGCAGCCACGUUCAAGGUGUCAGC
RNAcentral lists this non-coding RNA (369 nucleotides) under Soboliphyme baturini. RNAcentral's name for it is "Eukaryotic small subunit ribosomal RNA". It matches the Rfam family "Eukaryotic small subunit ribosomal RNA", at positions 70 to 429 of the family's 1831-position model. Lineage: Eukaryota; Metazoa; Nematoda; Enoplea; Dioctophymatida; Soboliphymatidae. The record is from Rfam by way of RNAcentral.